This 253-nucleotide ribosomal RNA is filed under the name uncultured prokaryote. Its description in RNAcentral is "partial 16S ribosomal RNA". It matches the Rfam family "Bacterial small subunit ribosomal RNA", at positions 525 to 777 of the family's 1533-position model. The record is from RNAcentral.
ACGUAGGGACCAAGCGUUGUUCGGAUUUACUGGGCGUAAAGGGCGCGUAGGCGGCAAUUCAAGUCAGGGGUGAAAGCCCAGAGCUCAACUCUGGAGCUGCCCUUGAAACUGUAUGGCUUGAGUAUGAGAGAGGUGAGUGGAAUUCCCAGUGUAGAGGUGAAAUGCUUAGAUAUGACAUAGAACACCAAUUGCGAAGGCAGCUUACUACACAACGAUUGACGCUGAGGCACGAAAGCGUGGGGAUCAAACAGGA